Molecule: ribosomal RNA, 628 nt
Filed under: bacterium 45-L049660-122-017-E06
Lineage: Bacteria
Description: bacterial SSU rRNA
Rfam family: Bacterial small subunit ribosomal RNA
Source: RNAcentral
GCAAGUCGAACGAUGAUCAGGAGCUUGCUUCUGUGAUUAGUGGCGAACGGGUGAGUAACACGUGAGUAACCUGCCCCUGACUCUGGGAUAAGCGUUGGAAACGACGUCUAAUACUGGAUAUGACUUCCGGCCGCAUGGUCUGGUUGUGGAAAGAUUUUUUGGUUGGGGAUGGACUCGCGGCCUAUCAGCUUGUUGGUGAGGUAAUGGCUCACCAAGGCGACGACGGGUAGCCGGCCUGAGAGGGUGACCGGCCACACUGGGACUGAGACACGGCCCACACUCCUACGGGAGGCAGCAGUGGGGAAUAUUGCACAAUGGGCGAAAGCCUGAUGCAGCAACGCCGCGUGAGGGAUGACGGCCUUCGGGUUGUAAACCUCUUUUAGUAGGGAAGAAGCGAAAGUGACGGUACCUGCAGAAAAAGCACCGGCUAACUACGUGCCAGCAGCCGCGGUAAUACGUAGGGUGCAAGCGUUGUCCGGAAUUAUUGGGCGUAAAGAGCUCGUAGGCGGUUUGUCGCGUCUGCUGUGAAAUCCCGAGGCUCAACCUCGGGCUUGCAGUGGGUACGGGCAGACUACAGUGCGGUAGGGGAGAUUGGAAUUCCUGGUGUAGCGGUGGAAUGCGCAGAUAU